GUCGCUCAACGGAUAAAAGGUACCCCGGGGAUAACAGGCUGAUCUUCCCCAAGAGUCCAUAUCGACGGGAUGGUUUGGCACCUCGAUGUCGGCUCGUCGCAUCCUGGGGCUGGAGUCGGUCCCAAGGGUUGGGCUGUUCGCCCAUUAAAGCGGUACGCGAGCUGGGUUUAGAACGUCGUGAGACAGUUCGGUCCCUAUCCGCUGCGCGCGCAGGAAUAUUGAGAAGGGCUGUCCCUAGUACGAGAGGACCGGGACGGACGAACCUCUGGUGUGCCAGUUGUCCUGCCAAGGGCAUGGCUGGUUGGCUACGUUCGGAAAGGAUAACCGCUGAAAGCAUCUAAGCGGGAAGCCUGCUUCGAGAUGAGUAUUCCCACCCCCUUUGAGGGGUUAAGGCUCCCAGUAGACGACUGGGUUGAUAGGCCAGAUGUGGAAGCCCGGUAACGGGUGGAGCUGACUGGUACUAAUAGGCCGAGGGCUUGUCCUCAGUUG
The sequence is a ribosomal RNA, 489 nucleotides long. It matches the Rfam family "Bacterial large subunit ribosomal RNA", at positions 2444 to 2925 of the family's 2925-position model.